RNAcentral lists this ribosomal RNA (451 nucleotides) under uncultured organism. Its description in RNAcentral is "partial 16S ribosomal RNA". It matches the Rfam family "Bacterial small subunit ribosomal RNA", at positions 329 to 797 of the family's 1533-position model. The record is from RNAcentral.
ACGUACACUCCUGCGGGAGGCAGCAGUGGGGAAUAUUGGACAAUGGGCGCAAGCCUGAUCCAGCCAUGCCGCGUGAGUGAUGAAGGCCCUAGGGUUGUAAAGCUCUUUCACCGGUGAAGAUAAUGACGGUAACCGGAGAAGAAGCCCCGGCUAACUUCGUGCCAGCAGCCGCGGUAAUACGAAGGGGGCUAGCGUUGUUCGGAUUUACUGGGCGUAAAGCGCACGUAGGCGGACUAUUAAGUCAGGGGUGAAAUCCCGGGGCUCAACCCCGGAACUGCCUUUGAUACUGGUAGUCUUGAGUUCGAGAGAGGGGAGUGGAAUUCCGAGUGUAGAGGUGAAAUUCGUAGAUAUUCGGGGGAACACCAGUGGCGAAGGCGGCUCACUGGCUCGAUACUGACGCUGAGGUGCGAAAGCGUGGGGAGCAAACGGGAUUAGAAACCCCAGUAGUCCC